Molecule: non-coding RNA, 79 nt
Organism: Podarcis lilfordi (Lilford's wall lizard)
Lineage: Eukaryota; Metazoa; Chordata; Lepidosauria; Squamata; Lacertidae
Source: the annotation of a GenBank genome assembly
AUCCAUUUAGAGUUCAUCCAGUUGAUAGAAGAUGAGACACUUAAUCUCAGGGUCAUGGGUUCAAGCCCCACAUUGGGCA